CCUACGGGAGGCAGCAGUCGAGAAUCAUUCACAAUGGGGGAAACCCUGAUGGUGCGACGCCGCGUGGGGGAAUGAAGGUCUUCGGAUUGUAAACCCCUGUCAUGUGGGAGCAAAUGAAAAAGAUAGUACCACAAGAGGAAGAGACGGCUAACUCUGUGCCAGCAGCCUCGGUAAUACAGAGGUCUCAAGCGGUGUUCGGAAUCACUGGGCGUAAAGCGUGCGUAGGCUGUUUCGUAAGUCGUGUGUGAAAGGCGCGGGUCCAACCCGCGGACGGCACAUGAUACUGCGAGACUAGAGUACUGGAGGGGGAACCGGAAUUCUCGGUGGAGCAGUGAAAUGCGUAGAUAUCGAGAGGAACACUCGUGGCGAAGGCGGGUUCCUGGACAUUAACUGACGCUGAGGCACGAAGGCCAGGGGAGCGAAAGGGAUUAGAUACCCGUGUAGUC
Molecule: ribosomal RNA, 446 nt
Filed under: uncultured bacterium
Lineage: Bacteria
Description: partial 16S ribosomal RNA
Rfam family: Bacterial small subunit ribosomal RNA
Source: RNAcentral